RNAcentral lists this ribosomal RNA (406 nucleotides) under uncultured bacterium. RNAcentral describes it as "partial 16S ribosomal RNA". It matches the Rfam family "Bacterial small subunit ribosomal RNA", at positions 30 to 526 of the family's 1533-position model. The record is from RNAcentral.
AUUGAACGCUGGCGGCAGGCCUAACACAUGCAAGUCGAACGAGUGGCGGACGGGUGAGUAAUGUCUGGGCAACUGCCCGAUGGAGGGGGAUAACUACUGGAAACAGUAGCUAAUACCGCAUACCAUCGGAUGUGCCCAGAUUGGAUUAGCUAGUAGGUGGGGUAACGGCUCACCUAGGCGACGAUCCCUAGCUGGUCUGAGAGGAUGACCAGCCAAACUGGAACUGAGACACGGUCCAGACUCCUACGGGAGGCAGCAGUGGGGAAUAUUGCACAAUGGGCGCAAGCCUGAUGCAGCCAUGCCGCGUGUAUGAAGAAGGCCUUCGGGUUGUAAAGUACUUUCAGCGAGGAGGCGGUACUCAAAGAAGAAGCAACGGCUAACUCCGUGCCAGCAGCCGCGGUAAUUC